This 253-nucleotide ribosomal RNA is filed under the name uncultured bacterium. Its description in RNAcentral is "partial 16S ribosomal RNA". It matches the Rfam family "Bacterial small subunit ribosomal RNA", at positions 524 to 776 of the family's 1533-position model. The record is from RNAcentral.
UGCGAAGGGGGCUAGCGUUGCUCGGAAUCACUGGGCGUAAAGCGCACGUAGGCGGCUUCUUAAGUCAGGGGUGAAAUCCUGGAGCUCAACUCCAGAACUGCCUUUGAUACUGGCGAUCUCGAGUCCGGGAGAGGUGAGUGGAACUGCGAGUGUAGAGGUGAAAUUCGUAGAUAUUCGCAAGAACACCAGUGGCGAAGGCGGCUCACUGGCCCGGUACUGACGCUGAGGUGCGAAAGCGUGGGGAGCAAACAGG